CAAGGAAGGGUAGGAGACUGGGAAAUGGAGGAUUUCAAACAUUUUUACCUAAACACUUGGUGAUUUAAUUCUGCUCCGCUGUUCAAGCCAUUCUUUUGCAUAUAUCAACAGAGGGAAAAGGGUUUUUCUUAAUGUUAUUUGAUUUGAAUAUUUUUUUUUGAAUUAUAAAACACAAUUAUGACAUGAUUACUGUCAUGUCAAAAGGGUGAACUCAUUGUUAAGGUGGUUGAAUUUCCAUAGAGACAGCUCUACGAUAUUCAAUAUGUGGACCCAUAAUAUUAUUUUCGUUUGAAUCUCUUCUUUCUUGCUUCUGGGGCCUUCUUAUUUGCUGAUCUCGCAUUGUUCUUUUACAUGGAACUCCAGGGACUAGAAAAACCGCUUUAUGUAAAGCAUUAGCUCAAAAACUAUCCAUCUGAUUUAACUCCAGAUACCUACAGUCCCAAUUGCUUCAAAUUAAUGCACAUUCUCUAUUCAGCAAAUGAUACUCUGAAAAUGGCAAGCUGAUGAAGUUGAAAGUCUCGAUGCUGUUAAAAAAUUUGCUUGAUCGAGUUUGGAACCUUCAGAUUCUAUUCAGGUACCAUGCUCUCCCCUUUUCCUUUUGCAGGCUAUUUUCUAAGCUUUUUCAUCAGAUGUAAUACAAAAGAUCAAAAUCAACAUUUUGCAUUCAGUUAAGGGUCAAGUUCAUAUAUUCAAGCUUUUCCUAAUUCCCUUCAACCAUGGCAUGUGCCCACAAGCCCUUGACUU
Molecule: long non-coding RNA, 744 nt
Organism: Rosa rugosa (rugosa rose)
Lineage: Eukaryota; Viridiplantae; Streptophyta; Magnoliopsida; Rosales; Rosaceae
Exons: 5
Source: RefSeq, a predicted model, not a curated record